CUACGGGUGGCUCCAGUGAGGAAUAUUGCACAAUGGGGGGAACCCUGAUGCAGCAACGCCGCGUGGAGGAUGACGCAUUUCGGUGUGUAAACUCCUUUUAUAUGUCAAGAAAAUGACGGUAGCAUAUGAAUAAGCACCGGCUAACUCCGUGCCAGCAGCCGCGGUAAUACGGAGGGUGCAAGUGUUACGCGGAAUCACUGGGCGUAAAGGACGCGUAGGCGGGUUGGAAAGUCAGGUGUGAAAUCCUACAGCUUAACUGUAGAACUGCACUUGAAACUUCUAAUCUAGAGUAUGGGAGGGGGAGAUGGAAUUAGCGGUGUAGGGGUAAAAUCCGUAGAUAUCACUAGGAAUACCUAAAGCGAAGGCGAUCUCCUGGAACAUUACUGACGCUAAGGCGUGAAAGCGUGGGGAGCAAACAGGAUUAGAUACCCUUGUAGUC
RNAcentral lists this ribosomal RNA (439 nucleotides) under uncultured bacterium. RNAcentral describes it as "partial 16S ribosomal RNA". It matches the Rfam family "Bacterial small subunit ribosomal RNA", at positions 339 to 795 of the family's 1533-position model. The record is from RNAcentral.